This 467-nucleotide ribosomal RNA is filed under the name uncultured bacterium. RNAcentral describes it as "partial 16S ribosomal RNA". It matches the Rfam family "Bacterial small subunit ribosomal RNA", at positions 28 to 507 of the family's 1533-position model. The record is from RNAcentral.
GAUGAACGCUGGCGGCGCGCCUAACACAUGCAAGUCGAACGAUUAAAGCACCUUCGGGUGCUUAUACAGUGGCCAACUGCUGAGUAACACGUGGGCACCCUGCCCCUCUCAUUUUGAUAGCCACUAGCAACCGUGGAUAUUACCUAAUACUUCAGCCCUCCCACAUGUAAGACUCGAGAAACCUCCGGCCUUGGGCGAUUGGCUCGCGGCCUGUUGGCUUGUUUGGGGGGUAGUGUCCUACCACGGCAAUGCUGGGUAGCUGAGUUGGGAAACCGACCAGCGAGAUUGGGACUGAGAGAGGGACCAGACGCGUACGGGAGGCAGCAGUGGGGAAUCUGGCACAAUGGGCGAGAGCCUGAUGCAGAGGCGCCGCGUGCGGGAUGAAGGCCUGUGGGUUGUAAACCGCUGUCAGCAGGGACGAGGCGAAAGUGACGGUACCUGCAGAAGAAGCCCCGGCUAACUACGUG